AAGUAGCUGGGAUUGCAGACAUAUGCCACUAUGCCUGGCAAAAGGAUACUUUUUAAAAAGUGUCUUAUUACCAGUAUGUUAAAUCUGAAGUGAAGCUAGGUGAUGUCAGAUAGUUGAUAAUUUGAAUCUUGAACUCAAGUGAUAUGCUUCAUCUCAUCAUUACAGACUUGGAAGUCAUUGGUGUAUCCAUAGGUGAUUGAAAUCAGAGAAAAGGACAAGCUGACACAGCAGAAAUGAGUAGAAUGAGGAAAGGGCCCUGAAUGGACCCACAAGGAAAACCAUACAACUUCAGUGAAAGAAGUUUCAUUGAAGUGGCUCGUAUGCAACAAGUAUUAAUAGAAUGUGAGGUGGAAACUGAAAAUUCUUCACUGCCAACUGAAAAGCAAAACUUGGAAAUAGUGUUCUGAUAUAAAUCAGAACUGCAAAAGAUGAGGGUCUCACUUUGUUGCACAGGCUGGUUUCGAACUCUUAGCUUCAAGCGAUCCUCCCACCUUAGCCUCCCAAAGUGUCAGGAUUACAGAUGAGAGCCACCACGCCUGCUGGAUUGCCGUUUUGGAAGUGAAGAACACUAAAGAUUCUGCGAUUCCUGAGUUGAAUUUCUCCUUCCCUUUAGAAUCUGCAUUUCUUGUGAAGGUGAGGAGGAGAAAUCUUUCCUAUACUCUCUAUCCUAAGUUUUGCUUAUCCAAAAAUAUAAAGCACAAGAGAGUUUGUACACAUUAAUCCUAAGAGUCACAUACAAGUAGGGCAAAGGCACACUGAUGCACUGGGUUUCCAGUCCCUUCCAAGCACUGUAUUAAUGCAAUGUCUGCUCCAUUCAGUCUUUACCAUCACACAAAUUAGCCAUUCUUAUCCCUGCCUGCAUGCCUUUGCACAUGCGUCUAUAUCUGCUUGGAUUUAUUAUCACCUAUGAAAACCUUGCCUGUCCUUUAUUGAAAUGAUAAUGCAUUUCUGAGCAUCUAUUGGAUGUUAUGCAUUAUACCAAUCUCUUGGGAUUCAAAGAUAAAUAAGUUGGUUUCUGCAUUAAAGGUAUUUCCUAAUCUAAUUGGGGAGAUAGUUAUGCACAACUGGCUAUGAUGUAGACCAGACUGUUAAAGUGACACAAUAGUGCAAAGGAAUAAGAAAAUUAGAGAAAGGCAUGGUAGAAAUGACCUUUCAGCUGUAUUGAAAGACAAGUACUAAUGUGCACAAAAAAGGAGACAGAGCAUUACAGCACAAACAAAAUCAUAUGAAAGGUGCUGGUUCUAGCAAAUAGCAAAGAUGCUCAUGUAACAACCACGGGGGUGAAAGAUGAUAAAUGGGAGAUGAAGUUGAAGAAGUAAGUUAGAGAUCAAUAAUAGAAGGUAUUGAAUGGUAUCCCCAGAGUUUGAUUUGAUUCUGAAAGCAAUGAGGAGACAUUGAAGGCUUUUGAGCAAAAUGACAUGAUCAGUUUUAGGAAUGUCACAAUAUAAAGGGUUAUUUAGAGAGGAAAGAGACUAAUGGCAAAGAGAUGUUAACUGUACAAACAGUGAGUGGAUGAAAAAGGUGUAGAUUAGAAAGCUAUUUAAGGGGUAGCAGAUAUCAGAUUCGACCCUGUCCCCAAAAUGAAUGCUUACUGAUAAAACAUUAAGUCACACAACUGGGUGAUAGACACUGAGCUAGGUGUUGGGAGUUCCAGGAUGAAUUAAAAGACUUUAUUUUCAAAUGUUUAUAGUCUCAUAGAAAGAGAUAGACAUCUAAAUGAGUACAAAAAUAUACAUAUUAUAAUUAGUCUAUGUUAUGCAUAAGAGUUACAUGAAGCAAUAGGGGUUGCUUCUACACAGAGACAUCAAAAAAUAUAAAUGAGGUGAAACUUCAGCUAAAAACCAUACCUUCUUAUUUUGUUCUUAUAUCUAAGCCUGGAAAAUAGUAAACAUUCAAUAAAUGUGUACAGAUGGUUCCAA
Molecule: long non-coding RNA, 1919 nt
Organism: Lemur catta (Ring-tailed lemur)
Lineage: Eukaryota; Metazoa; Chordata; Mammalia; Primates; Lemuridae
Exons: 2
Source: RefSeq, a predicted model, not a curated record